UACGAAGGGGGCUAGCGUUGCUCGGAAUUACUGGGCGUAAAGGGCGCGUAGGCGGACAGCUUAGUCAGAGGUAAAAGCCCAGGGCUCAACCUUGGAACUGCCUUUGAUACUGGCUGUCUUGAGUUCGGGAGAGGUGAGUGGAAUGCCGAGUGUAGAGGUGAAAUUCGUAGAUAUUCGGCGGAACACCAGUGGCGAAGGCGACUCACUGGCCCGAUACUGACGCUGAGGCGCGAAAGCGUGGGGAGCAAACAGG
Molecule: ribosomal RNA, 253 nt
Filed under: uncultured bacterium
Lineage: Bacteria
Description: partial 16S ribosomal RNA
Rfam family: Bacterial small subunit ribosomal RNA
Source: RNAcentral